Molecule: long non-coding RNA, 2003 nt
Organism: Sapajus apella (tufted capuchin)
Lineage: Eukaryota; Metazoa; Chordata; Mammalia; Primates; Cebidae
Exons: 3
Source: RefSeq, a predicted model, not a curated record
GUCCAGGAGGGCGCUUUGGUCUGCCUCCUCCGCGAAUUCCAUCCAGACCCGGGGCCUCCUCUUUUAUGAACUGACCUGUCCCCACGCACCAGCCACCACCAAAACCAAACCAAAACCAAAAAUCUGCCUCCAGGGCUCCUCCCAACCCCGAACUUUUACCGCAUUCCACAGGGCCCACGGUGAAGGAAUUUGCGCCUAAUGUCGAACAGAUGCUCAUCGUUAAUCACUUGAAAGGGAGCCCAACAGAAAGAAGAGAGAUAUCCCGGAGGAAGGUGCCAGGAGAGCCCGGAGGGACGUCCAAGACUUGGCAGACCUGAACUUCAGUGAGCUUGAUGCUGUCAUUACACCUGCCCUCCAGGUAAAAUGCUCCCAGCUUCCGGCCCUUGCUAUGCCAUUGCAACAGCAUGCGACCACAAGACUAAGUUUUGGCCUUUUGAUGCGACCGUGUUGGGCAGGACUUCGGGACAGGUGGGUUGCCAGGUGUUAUCUGCUUUCAUCUUGACCAUCAGCACGUGCCACAGUUGUGACUGGUGAGAUCUAUUCCCUUUCAUGCUAAUUGGGUCAGGGAAAUUGUGGAAAUAAAACUUAGGUUUUGUUUUACUCACAUCUGUUGAGUCUAGUUUCCCUCUUAAGGACCCAUUCUGAUAAUAGAAGCAAGAACCUGCUUUUUAACUUUGGAAGUAGGAAAUUAGUCUUCAGCCAGACAGAAAUAGAUAGACCUGUUAUAAAGAUUAAAUCUAGCAAUUUGACCUCCUUAACGCAAGCAAGAGUAUAAGUCACCAAUAAAGUUUACCUUUGAAGGUCAAAAGAGAAGUUAAGUGAAGGGAAUAUUGAUCAAUCCAGGAGAAGCUGAAAAGGCUCCGCUGUCACAGUGGGCUGUAAGCUGCAGACGUGCAUUGUUAGUAAAGGAGGUUAAAGCGGCAGUGAGACAGAGGCAGCUAAGGCUAGAGGUGGGAAACGAUCCUCCCAUUAUCCCCUCUUGGUUAGAAAUCCCAUUAUAUUCUCUGUUGGCUUCCUGGACCCCUCCUUUGUGGAGAAAAUAAUAUUGAAGAGUAAUCGAUGUCUUUAAGCGCUAUUUUGAGAAAGCCCCACUCACUCAUUCCCUCAUUUUCCUCCUUGUACAGCUUGUAUUCAUUCCAUCACUUUAAUAAUUCCCUUGUCUACCCCUUCAACUCCCUACCUGAGUAAAUCUAACUUUUAGCUUCACCUGAGUAGCUAAAAAUAGCUGGAGAAAAAACAUGUGCCUUUUGGUCUUCCUGUUUGGGAUGCAUUUUUAUUCCUUUACCCUGCUGAUAGGACAAUCAGAGAGUUCAUGCACUUUUCUUCUCUUGAUUGAACAUCUGGAGGUUUGAUCAGAACCCUUUAAGGAUCUAACAUACGUUAAUAUAUAUUUGGCCUUUCUUCAGUGCUCUGAUGAAGCAUUCAGGGAUAAUAAUUGGGUCAGUUAAAAUAAUAUUAUUCUUAAAGAUCGUUACACGUUAUUUGAAACUUAUAACAUCAAAUAAUUCAUUAUACCAAUAAUUUAAAGAUAUUCAGUUAAAGCAGAUUGAACAUACCUACAUUAUUUUGUCUAUGGUAUUAUUUUUUUCUUGGCACUCUUCCUAUGUGGUGUAAAAGAAAAAUUUAACCGAGCCCCUGUUAUUUUCUUAAUCAGUCAGGUUCAUUCAACCUAUAUUUGUUAAGUGGAUUAUGAAUAUGAUAAACUGUGGCUUGCUUUUUCUAAUUGUAAAAUUUGAUUAAUAUCUACAUCCUUUGCUGAGGAUAGGAACCUUUUCUGCCUUAGACAUAGCUGUAUACCAGCACCUAACAGUGUGUUACAUGAGGGAGGUGCUCAACAAAUGGAGAUGACUACUUUCAUUGACCAAAAGGGCAUCCCUGAAUAUAUGUAGAGCAGUUGAGGAUGGGACAGUAGAACUUCUAGUUUAAAGAGCUAGAAGGAUCAGAAGGAUGAUGGACAAGGAAUUAGAUAAUUCAAAUAUAUGUAAAGUCCUUAACCACAGAAC